This is a long non-coding RNA of Camponotus floridanus (Florida carpenter ant), 8268 nucleotides long. RefSeq lists it as uncharacterized. The record is from RefSeq and is a predicted model, not a curated record. The transcript is spliced from 12 exons. NCBI's taxonomy places the organism in Eukaryota, Metazoa, Arthropoda, Insecta, Hymenoptera, Formicidae.
UGGUGGUGGUGGUGGCGGUGGCGGUGGCAGUAGCGAUGGCGGCGGCGACGACGGUCACGACGACGGCGACUAUCUGUCUGUAUGCCUAUACGCCUGCCUUCCUGCAUGCCUGUACAUCUCCUCCUCCUGCGGCAGCUCCCCUUCUUCUCCUGCUCCUGCUCCUGCUCCUUAUCCUUCUCCUCUUUUUUCCUCCUUUUCCUUCUUCUUCUCUUUCGUCUCCUUCGUCUCCUUCGUCUCCUUCUUCUUCGGCCUGUCCUCAUCCUCAUCCUACUUCUGUUCCCUCGUCCACCAUACCCUUUGCAUCCCUCCUCUCGCAUCCGCGCGUUCCUCGUGUUCUUCCGUCUUGUCUACGGGUUACAGGAUCCACCUACGCGCCUCCCUUCGACUACCUCCCUUUCUUCUUUCCUUCCUUCCUUUUGUUUUUUUCGCGUCCCUCGCGCGGAAGUUUAUAGCAGAGAAUUUUCCGGUUUCGCCGGCUGCGAGAGUUCAACAAGACUUGCCCGAUCGAGCCGAGACCACGGAGCUUACGCAUAUGCGAUCAAGUAUUGUUGAAUUCGCGACUUUUCCCCCCUUCGUUUCGUCAUAUUGGCGUAAAUUUCUCCAAACGAUUUACUUUCUAAACGUUUUACUUUCACGAGAUAGCUCUGCAGUGUCCAAAUCUCCGCGAUCCCGCUCGAUCGUUUACCUCGCGACAUUUAUCUCAAACAGACACGUAUCGGUUUUGCACGAUUACUAUUGAUAUAAGUUAUUAUUAAUAUACGUUUAUUUACGGAUAAAAUAGUAAUAAUAUAUCGCAAAAAUGAUUACAUGCAUUGCGAUUUUAUUUAUUAAUUUUAUUUUAAAGAACACUCUUGUACAUUCUAUUUACAUGACGACACUUGUUUAUUUACAACACGUCCGUAAACGAUAUGCGACCAAGUUAAAUUUCAUCAUUCCAGAAACACCAUGGAAAUAUAAAAUAGUCAAAUUAUACUGUACAAUCAACGUAUGGGUGUACAUGACUAACAAAUAAAUUAGUAAUCGGAAUAUCAAACAAUCUAUCGGGAUUAUGUGGGCAGGAACGCUAGUCUUAAAAAUGCAAUAUUCGAUUAAGAAUCUUAAAUGGAAGCUUCUUAAUUUCGGCAACAAUCUCGAUAGCAUCUCGUGGAACUGAAUCGCAAAAAAGGUACUUGUGAGAAAGACAGAUAGCUUCGGUCUUACAUAUCUCGCCACUGUCCAAAGACACGGAGGGGGUUGACGUUAAAGCAGCGACUUCCGGUUGUUUCGGAACGUGUUCGGCGCGAGCGGGAAUGAACGAGAUGACGGCCGUUGAAAUGUCUGUCAGAGUCGCGGUAAAUCAUCUCGAGCGACGCGCGUGAGAGACAAGAAAAUUCGGCACGCGAAGACAAUGCGAUAUACACACCGUUCCAGCGACAAGGUGCAAUGGUGAUUGGUGGAUGCACCGCUGGUCCACGUCUCUUUUAUACCUCGCGGCUCGGCGCGGCGCGACCCCCGACAAAGCGGUACCGCCCCCUGGACACGUGACGAUGCUGGAUCUGCCACCAGGGAUACUAUGCGCUCCUUGCAGCGCACCCCGUCGCAACUACCCGCUAGACUACCCCACUACGGAAGCCCGCACCCUCCUCCCGUCCUUCCUCGCGCGGCGAUGCACUAAUUGAUAUCAUUACGCCAAGUCCAAGUAUGUGUGUAGACUUUGCGUCUAUCGCUCGCGCGAUAUGAAUGAUGGGGUAUCUUAUCUCGAUGGCGCGUAACAAUCGUAAAACGAUUGCCCCCUGGCUGUCUUACUCUUUCGACUUACUACUUUGUCAGGUUUCUCUGUUUGCGCGAUUUUGAAAGCUCGAUUGGCUGAUUUUCACAGUCGUUAAUCAUUGGCAAACUUUCUUUAUCAGAGGCUCAAUGAGAAUAAUUUAUGUAUUUGUUGAAAGACUAGGUUGAUCACAUCGGAAUAUCUCUGGAAGCAUAUCGGAAUAUUUUUGGAAUUAUGUCGGCCAUAUUCUUGAACGAUUGUUCAAGUCGAAGAGAAAUGUCAUUGAGGAUGGCUGGGAGAGAUAACGAGAUAGCGAAAAGCAGGAAAGGGAUGCAAGAUAGAAGGAACGCAGGGCGAGGCGCGAUCAUCGGAAGGAUGAAGAAAGAGAGAUGAAGACAGCGAGAGCUUCUUUCCUUUGUGCUUGCAUGAUCUCGUCUUUGAUCAAUCCUUCCACUACAAAAAGUCACCGAUUGAUCGAUCUCGGGAAGUGUCGCGCAGAGAACUUACUCCGGGGAUUGUUCGACUACUAUGCAGUCUAGACUUUCUUCAAUAAACGGCCCACCAGACUGAAUCACCCUUCGUUUAUCAACGGCUGUCUUUGCGCGGAUUUCGAUAACGCGUUCUAGUGAUCGCGUUUCUUGCAAUUUCCCGAUGACACGAGACUCUUGGAGACGCGACCCUUCAUUCAUACUCUGCUGGAAGUCACGAGUCAUCGGCGAUGGACCGACUCGAUAUAGUCGGAGUCAGUCUGUAAGAAAAGACAAAAACUCGCUGGAACAGGAAUGGAAGAAAAUAAAACGCGAAUGUCACCGAUUUGAUCGAUUUAACAUACAGUUGAGAGAAAAGAGAGCAUGCAAAACAACGAAUCGAGAUGCUCUACAACUGGACCUCGAAAGUCGCGGUUGAGAGAUCCCCACUUGGCACGACUGCUUCUCACGCGCAGGCCACGCACUUUCUUCCUUGGAGCAACUUUAUCGAUAAUUCGCUCCUGACGCGAGGAGCGGAUAAAAGAGUGAGAAGCACGAGAAGAGAGGAGAAAACGUUGAGGUAUCUCGCAGCGAGACGGUGCACAUGCAGUGCCUUCCAGCUGCAUCCGCGACACACCUGCCUCUCCUUCGUUCUACGGGAUGUAUAAUGCUGAUGAACGAGCGUGCGAUGAAUGCAGGUUGGCAGGAUGUCCCUGGUCGCGUGAGGAUCGCGUGGCGACAGCUAAACAAUAUAUGUAUUCUAAAAACGAGGCAGAGCGAUAAAGAGAGGAAAAAAACAGCAAGUAUAAGGAACGAUGAUGACGAGGCGAGAAAAAAAAAUGAUUGUACCAAGAGCCAACCACGUCCGCCUGGUAAUUACGAUUACUAUCUAUGAGUAGCCAGUGACUGUCCAAGUAGCGUGAGAAGAACAACCGUUGAAGUUCUCCAUGCGAACUGGUUUCACGCCUCCUGGUUCCGUUUGCAAGUGCACGUAGCCGAUCACGUAGACGUUGCAGAUACUCGGGAGAGGAACUCCAACCUGCCAGAGUUAUCUUCCCCUCGCUAAUCCACGCAUACGUCUCUUCGGAUAGGAAAACAACUGGAUAUCGAUAUUAACUUUAUUGGACGACCAAUUUUUGAAGAAACAAGCACGGGGGAGGCGAAUUACCCGCGCCAUGUUUAGUACAAAGUUAAUCCAAUCUAUCCAACUCUCCGGGACGUGGACGAUGCUCCGUGAUAUCGCAGGAUAUCCGAUCGUUUUUCAUCGCAAUUCAUGAUACAACUAAGAGACAAGCGAAAUAAGGCACAUGUAGUUUAUGGGAAAUGGAUGCGGUCGACAAUUGCCGAAUAAAUGUGGAUCGUUUCGGAAAAAUAGGGAAAAACGAGCGCGGCCAGACCAAGUUGGUUCUCUAUCUUUUCCUCCUUCAGCCAGUGGAGGGAUGCAUCAAGGCCAGAUGAGGCCUGUCCACUAGUAAAAGAGGGCCGAAAAAUGGCUGACAGGCGGAUUAAAUAUAGUUGCCAACGAGGAAAUCAUAGUUUCAGUUUUGCGCCAAGUUCUCUCUCCGCCAAAAUCCAGUGAACCCGUCGCUCUAUUUAGGCCAAGUGGCAUCCCCGUCUACGCUCCAAACAAGACCGUAUCUACUACCGUCGUUACUUGACUUACUUAGCACGAAGAAAAGAAGAGACAAAAAGACUCAAGUACGGUGGAAAACAAUGAAAGGAAAAGGGUCGCUCUUUUUCUCAAAAGUGAAAACGGACGCGUGAGCGUAUAAUCUCGGAAGCAGCAACCGGAGAAUCGGAAGUGAGAAUCGGACAAAGUACGGUAUAGGACGGGGCAGAGAGACCGUACGCUUAGCCCGAUGAGAUGUGGACGUAGAGAUGCAGACGAGGUACACGAACAGAGGUUUAUGCAUACCGAUCGUACGCAUACAUGGACGUCACACGUUCUAACCGCGCGCGAGCGCACCUCCCGCGAUAAUCCUGUGAUGGAUGUCUCUAGGUAGUCGGUAAGCCCUACCAGCCAGACUGUGUUCGGUAUAUCGGUGUGUUUACCCAGACGGAAGCCGUCUGGCGGCGAUAGGGCAACCGACGUCUCCCGCGUGAUGGAGUUCUCUCUUAUCUAUCCGAUGUCAUCAGCGCUAAAAAUAAGAUAAAAUAAGAUAAAAGGAAACAAAAAAAGAUGAAAGAGAGAAAAGGAAAUUUCUCUAAAUAGAAAAGAAAACAAACGGAUAACACGAGAGUAGAGAGAAUUUUUUUCUUCAAGAAGACUCGCAUAGAAAGAAGAAAUAAUUGUGAAAAACUAAAGGAGGUCAAUAGAGAAUAAGGUUUGCCCCGAGCUCCAAUGCGGACUUGUCGAAGCGAUCGAAGGAAGGAUAGACUGAAUCCUCAGUGCAUUCCUGCAGCCUCUACCUCUCUGCAUUACGUAAUAGCAAAACGACCUUGCGUUCCAUCGUAAUGCCUGAGAAUGGCAGAGAACCACGUACAUCUCGCGAUCAACUUCCGCCAAGUCCCUCUAUUUCUCUCUCUUUCUUUUUUUUUCCUUUCAUCGCUAUCAUUGUUUUCGUCGGAAGAGAAAAGAUGCGGCGAAUAAAUAGACGGCGCGGCAAGAAAGAAAAUAAGCGGUGAGAAAUAAAAGGUGAGCGGCAACAACAAGUUUUCGCGAGACACAAUCCCGUGUGUCUCCGUUGUUUUCGCGUAUGCAGUGCGCUUGCAAAACAUGUCUCUCCAUUCGAGAUCAAUGCCAGAUAUAACGUCUACAAAGAAAUAUAAUUAAAGAGAAGUAAAGGGGUAUAAUUUAAGUUAAACCUAAGGCGGAUUAAUUAACUGAUUCCAUCUGGACUUGUCCUGCAGAAUAAAUUGUUUUGCGCAAUUUUUCUCUCGACGAACUGUUUACAUCCUUUAACAUUAUCUUAUUUAGCAAGUUCCGUCUUAUAUACAUAUUGUGUUGAUCGUAUCGGUCGAUCGACGAUUUACGUUUCCGCGGCAAAAAAUCAGAGAGAGAUAUCUCUUUUAUAGACUACGAUUUACGGAAGCAACGGAGAAUCCUUAUUAUGUUAGCCAGUAACUUGAGAUUAUUUAUCGCGUCAUUAAUCAGACGAGUUUUUCCCGCCAGUGAGAAUUGUAAACCGCAAACAGAUGCAAUAUGGAAAUGGAUGUAAAUCGUAAAAGGAGGUGUACGCGCUCGCGUUGUAUCCGUGAAAUGGCAGUCGAUAUUCAGGGAAGUCCAUAAAAUGAAAUCGUUGCAGUUUCCGGAUGCAGUUUGCGAUUAUUUCACGGUCCGAGUGUUCGCUACAAACAUUGAUUGCGGUUUAUGUAUAUAAAGUAUAUUCAAAAAGAUCGUAACAUUUACACGACUAUGAGAAAUCAGACGAGAAAGAGGAAUGCAACUUUGCAAUCUCGUUAUCUACUCCAUCAUUUCAUUGAGAAUUUUCAGACUACUAGUCGCUAAUUUUAUUUUAUGUAUUUUUUUUUAUUUAAAUGCGAUUAUUACGAUUGGCAAAUGAUACAAUGAGGUGAUCGCAACAACAAAUAAAUGUAUUUCGUGCGAGAUGGCAAAGCGCACCUUUGUAAUUCGUAAUCGUACGCACUCGUCGGCCGGUAAAGCACUCAGAUAAAUGAAUCCGCCGAGAUUUUAGCCCCGUUAAAGUACAGCAUGGCCUUGCGUACGCAGAGGCCACGUAACAUAGUCCUCUUCCGCGACGCUUUUAUAUCUCGCGGUUUACUGGCAAUCGUCAUUCGCGGGCUUUACAAUGUGUCUGGUUUACGGGCUCUCAACCGUCUCAACGAGUGUCUCCUUUCCGUUUCUCGGCUCCUCUCUUUCUCCGUCUCUGUCGUUUACGAUAUAGGUCACAUCUCCGUGAAACGCACUCGAGGCUGCAACUCUCCGCGUGAGCGGCGCGCGUAAAGACGACGGUGAUGUAAAAACGAAUCCAAUGUAAAAGCGAAAUGGCUGUCUACGAUGGCAAUGCAACGGUGAACGUCAAUACGCUAGAUAAGAUCAGCGAACGAGAGUGAUCUCGAAUCUUAUUCUGACGAGCGAGUUUUUUCUUCUGCAAGAUUCCUUUCCUUCCUCAAGGCGCGAUAUUAACAAAAAAUUAAAAGCUCGAAAAUAAACUGAAUUUAGUUCUUGCAAUCGUGAAGAAAUAAAAAAAAUAUAGCCGGAUCAGAUAUUUUGUAGAUCGAGAUUUUAAACUCAAACUAAUUUUUUGCAAAGAGAAAGGAGAGAAAAAAGAAUGCAAAUAAUAGACUAGAAUAUCGAUGAUAUAUAAUUUAAAGUCCACUCUUGGAGAGUUUACUCGUUGAUUAAAAAAAGAUUCAGUUUUAUUAAUAUCCUUAGUUUUUAAAUAAAUGACAUUUCCGUCACGUGCGUGAUCAGAAUUUAUUUCAAGACUAAUAUUCUCGUGUUUUGUGCGUACUGUCAUUGCGUCUAAUUGUAUUAAAAAAAAAAAUUGUUAGCCCCAACGUCUACAAGCUACAUAAUGUACAAGGUAUAUUCCACUGUCCUAAAGUGGCGGUGUUUUACGAGCAAAACCUAGCGGGAAAACAUUACGUCUGAUGAACGCGAGGUUGAACGUAUGUUAAAGGAAUUCUUACCGAAGAAAAAAAACCGGGACAUUUCGUAGAGGCAGCAAAACAGUAAAACGCCAGAUGACACGAUGAUGAAGACAGAUGUGCGCGAGCGAGAUGUAAUCCGUUAAAUACGAUACGUUAUAUAUAUAUGCGUUAUAUAUACAUAAUUAAAAUUAAGAUCUGAUUCUUCUAUCGAUAAUGAAAAUCUCCUAUUUCGAUAAUUAAAGUUUCGAAUACAAAUGCACGCUUUCGUUCGAACUUUUCUUUCAAUCUCGCGUUACACACAUUUGUUUAUUUAAAAGAAAAUCAAAGAGAGAUCCCCAUGGGAACCAUGCUACGUAGAAAAUACAGCCUGCGUCUAACAGCGACGAUGCUUUACGAGCAAAAAGCGCGAGCGGCUCUCUAUAUCUAGCGGAAGCAACGGUUUGAACGGCGGGGACAAAUUUGACAAAAAAGAUGAAACGGUGAGGGUGGGGAGGAGAGGGGGGAGGGGGGAGAGAGAGAGAGAGCAGGCUGGGACAACAGGACGAGCAAAUGGGUGGUGAGGCGACAGUGGACAGAAGUACAGACGAGAGAAAAUAACAGUCCCCUUAUAUCCCACCCUUUAAUCCUUUUACGCGCACAAGCACCACCGCCGACUGUAUGCAAUGGGGCAUACGAUGCGUCUAGACAAAAUAAUGAUUUGGAUUUCAAUACAUUUGCAUUCAUUACCCCCCUCUCCUCCUCCCCCUCCUCGGUACCCACCCGCGAUCCGGGCGGUCUCUUCUUUCGCCAUUCCGCAUUUCGCAGAGUUACGCUCGUUAUCAUACGAAUGCUCUGCUCCGCAGCAACGCCGCUCAUUUCGUUCGCCGUCGAAAUGCGACACGACGGGGGCAACCCAGGAUCCAGAUCGGCGCGAUGCGACCGAAGAUAGGGGAGAAAGGGGGGAGAGAUCACGGAUUUCCCGCGAUCGCCCGGCUAAUGAGUCGUGUGUGUGUGUGUGCGCGCGCGCGCGCGCGUGUGUGUGUCGGCUCUUCUUGAUUUGUUUUCCUUUUUCAACACACAUGCGCGUCGCGAGUCUAGUCCGGAUCGUAUUAAAUUAGAAGUAUUUGAUGCGCUAUUUUGAAGUAGAUUAACAAUUCGGCUAUUCUUUCCUUUUAUGAGCACUUGUUAUGUAAUAUGCAACCUAUAUUUGCCGUCAUCUUUUUCAUAUUAGUAAUCAAUUCAAUGAUGAGAUAAAUGUUGGUGAUUUUUCGCGGGAUAAAAAUUAAUAUAAUUAUUAAGCUUAGAUUAAGAAGAACACUCACGGGUUCCGUUAUUCCGUCCCCGUCUUUGCCUAAGGAGUGACCUUCGGACCAACCCAUUUUCGAAAGUAUUUUGAAUCCUUUAUUAUCCUUCGCGAUCGAUCUGAUUGAAUAAAUAUCUGCGUUAGAACUUUGGAAUAUUUAUACAGGACGCGUUUAUCUUUUUAUCUAAAUAUUAUAAUGUACUCACGUGUGGACAGAA